AACGAACGCUGGCGGCAUGCUUAACACAUGCAGGUUGAACGCAGAAUAGGGCUUCGGCUCUAUUGCUGAGUAGCAAACGGGUGAGUAACGCGUGGGAAUCUACCUUCUUGUGGGGAUAACUAAGGGAAACUUUAGCUAAUACCGCAUACGCUCUACGGAGGAAAGGCUUCGGCCGCAAGACGAGGAGCCCGCGUCAGAUUAGGUAGUUGGUGGGGUAAAAGCCUACCAAGCCAAUGAUCUGUAGCUGGUCUGAGAGGAUGAUCAGCCACACUGGGACUGAGACACGGCCCAGACUCCUACGGGAGGCAGCAGUGGGGAAUAUUGGACAAUGGGGGAAACCCUGAUCCAGCAAUGCCGCGUGAAUGAAGAAGGCCUUAGGGUUGUAAAGUUCUUUCACCUGUGAAGAUAAUGACGGUAGCAGGAGAAGAAGCCCCGGCUAACUCCGUGCCAGCCGCCGCCGUAA
This 463-nucleotide ribosomal RNA is filed under the name uncultured bacterium. RNAcentral describes it as "partial 16S ribosomal RNA". It matches the Rfam family "Bacterial small subunit ribosomal RNA", at positions 29 to 523 of the family's 1533-position model. The record is from RNAcentral.